CCCCCUAGGUUCCCAGCACCACCAUUUUGCUCUCUUCCUUCCCCUCGCCGCGAUGCCGCGCUCUUCCCCCAUCCUGACCGCGGCCGCCCGGCCUGCCUCCCCCACUACGGCUCGCACCCCACCCCACCUCCAGUUCGGGCUCUCCCAGGCUUAAGAGCCUGCCGGAGAAAAGGCACCUAAAUCUAACGCUACACCGAGAAGCAGAGCCUCCAUCUUGCGCUGCUCCGCGUUCUCCAUUUUGGGCCACCCAUUGGGGGGGUCUCCGUAGAGGCCCCGAGGGAGAGCGGGGCGAGGGAAGGAAGAGAAAGCCUUCAGCGAGGGUAGUCGAAAAGAAGAGUCCUGCGGUAGAAAGCCACUCUAGGAGUAGGAGAGUUUGUUCAGAAAAGUGCUGCGGGCCCCAGUCCUGUCCUGAGAAGUGGAAUUUAUUUCCUGGGGUACUGAAAGAUGGAGAGUACACCCUUAGAAUUUGAAGACAAGAGACACAGCCUUCACUGAAUGGCCAGAUCUCCAUGGAAGCAAAAUUGAAACUUGAUACCCUGGAGUAUUUAAGGAUAAAGGAGGCAUUACAUCAGCAAUUUAUACUCAAAUGGUUCAGAAAGAAAGUUCAUAGAAUUGUGCAAAAGAUACAUAGAAGAGCAUCCAGACCAAUGCCCUCAUUUUUCGAAGGAGAAACUGAAGACCAAGAGAUUAGCAUUCCCAGCAUAACAGAAUAUCCGGUGACAGAGUGAGGAGCAGCAGCCUCCUCCUCUCGUGCCAAAACCCUGAGCUAUUUCUCUACACCAUUAGAGCACACACUCACCAGACCAGACUUAAAUAUUAGAUCAUAAUUUUCUGCUUCCUGACCAAAUGUAGUAUGCUUACUGCCUCACAGAGUAGGAACAUCUAUCUAGCACGGUGGAUCCUUGAUAAAUAAAAUUUGGUACUCAAUAAGCACUCGAUAUAUCCAUUAGUUUGGAAUGCCUUUCAUAUACUCUUUUUUCAUUUCAAAGAUGCCUUUUGAUUUAUUUACAAAGCCAUAAAACCUGACAUGUGUUUUCUUAGUGCUAUAAAUGAAGAGCUGGCUACCAACAAUGAAAGUAGAUGACUUGUUUCCCAGUGGGUGGGACAUCCAAAUGUCUAGGUGCCAAAUUAUAAAAUGAGAUCAACCUUGGAGUCUUUACUGAGGUUUUAUUCUUUCAGAUUUAAAUAUGGUUUAUAGAACACUUUGAGAAUCAAUUUAAAGUCACUUUGCAGGGCAAAACUGUAUAGCCAUUUAGAUAUUCUUGAAGGAAAAGUGUAUUAAUUAGUAGCACAAGAAAAUGCAAAAACUAAUGGUGAAGUUAUUUGUCCCUAUUUUUAAAAAAUAAUACUUUCUUGCAAUUUUCAGAAAGACAAAAUGAUAAAAUUUGAAUAUUUUUUCAAAAGGACUACCAGAUGAAACUUAAUGAGGUUAGUAGUCUAAGAUCCCAAUCAUCAGAGACUUUUAACUGGGGUAUUUAUCCCUUUAUGAGUUGUUGAAACAUUUUUAAGGUUUACAACCUACCAUUCAGUAAGUUAAGACCAAUAAAACACCCACUUGGCCAAUUCAGCCAUAUCCCAAGAAGAAAUAACAGAACAGUCAGAGUUUGAAAGGAUAUUCAUUAGUUGCAACUGUUGUGAUAUAGACCUCAAGACCUGUGAAGUAUAUUGAUCAGAUUUUUUAUACAUAGUAAAAAAAAUGACAUGCUGUUUGAUCUGAACUCAGGUUUUAGCCUUCAGUUUGUAGAUAGAACUAUGUUUAAAAGUCAAUCAAAAAUUAAUGUGACCAGUAUUUGCUGUUGUGAUAUCAUUAUUUCAACCAAAUUGUGAUUCAAUGCUAAGGAGGAUAGCUGGAAAUGUUUAGAAAGUCACAAACACAGCAGAUAUUCUAGUCCACCUUUGGCUCCACAGUUUGUGCUCUUAUUCACUGCACUACCGUUGAUUAUAUGAUACCAUUUUAUAAAACUUAAAAUAUGCAAAGUAAUGUUCUAUGCAGUUUAUGGAUAGACACAUAUGUGAUAAAAAUGUGAAAACAUGCAUGGAAAUGAAAGGCAUCAAAUACAUGAAUUUGGCUCCUUCUGAGAAAGGGAGACAGGGGAAAUGAAUGGAAACAGAAAAUUUUAGCUAUAUCCAUAAAGUCUUAUUUCUAGAAAAAAAAAGAUAUUUAGUAAAUACAGGAAACAUAUAAGAUUUGACAAUGCUGGGCUGUGAGUACAAUGGAGCUUAUCAUAUUAUUCUCUAUGAGGCUUAUAAUUUUAUUCUCUCUAUUACCUUUAUUUGUAAAACAUUUCACAAUUUUUAAAACAGAUUUUUAAAAAGAAAUGAAAAGGUAUAUUAUGAAGCUGGAGUAUGUGUCUUGGAUCUCCAAUGUAAUAAACAAUCCUGGUUGUAAUUUUAAAUAUUUACACAAAUAAUGUGAAAUAAAGAUUUUGUGAAAUUCAGAA
Long non-coding RNA from Capra hircus (goat), 2441 nucleotides. RefSeq lists it as uncharacterized. The transcript is spliced from 5 exons. The record is from RefSeq and is a predicted model, not a curated record. NCBI's taxonomy places the organism in Eukaryota, Metazoa, Chordata, Mammalia, Artiodactyla, Bovidae.